UGUCCAGGGAUGGGAAUCGAACCCACAGUGUUCCGCUUACCGGGCAGAUGCCAUGUCCACUAGGCUACCCUGUAC
This 75-nucleotide transfer RNA is filed under the name Cordylochernes scorpioides. RNAcentral describes it as "tRNA-Thr". The record is from RNAcentral. Lineage: Eukaryota; Metazoa; Arthropoda; Arachnida; Pseudoscorpiones; Chernetidae.